Molecule: long non-coding RNA, 1634 nt
Filed under: Homo sapiens (human)
Lineage: Eukaryota; Metazoa; Chordata; Mammalia; Primates; Hominidae
Description: non-protein coding lnc-FCRLB-3:1
Source: RNAcentral
GCCAUCUUGAUAUAGACAGGAAGUGACUAACAUUAGUGGCAAGAGGCUUAGUAAUCAAAGAAUCUCAGGUCAUUUAAAAAAUCAGUUGAUCAUUUUUUAAGAGUACAAAAAAGAGAAAUAGUUACUCAAAGGAGAGCUAGGGCAGCAGUAUCUCUUUCAUUCACACCUUUUUGGCAACAUCAACAUCCUUGUUCUUGUUUUGCCAUCUACUUCCAUUUAGAACUAGGAUGCGGGGGGAUGGGGAAGAACAAGGACUUUUUGGUGAGAGUGAAAAUCAUUCAUGACUCAACUUUCUGGUGUAGGGGAGAGGAAUUGACUCAUAUGGCCUGUAGACUCCACUGUCUUCUUCGUGUACCCCAGCUUUUAAGAGGAGGGCAGGAUCAAGAUGAUCUUCUAAGAUAUCUGUUAUUGAUCUCCCAGGAAGACCUGCAUUAAGGAAAUAUCAGCUUCAUCUUCAUCCCUUUUGUUUGAGGUUCCUACAUGCAUUUAGGGAAACCAGAAGGCUAGCUAGCCCAGGUUGUCCAAGGGGACUCUCAGAGCUCAUUCCCAAACAGCAGGGAUGGCAGAAAAAUGCUGGAGAAACCUAGGGAGGAAUCUGCUUCUCUCUGAUACUCUGAUCAGUUUGGUGUCUCAGACUUAGGCUGCAAACCCUAAUCCUGCGGCUGUCCAUAGCAGAUGCCAGACAAGGAACCCCAAUGUCCGCUAUCAGAGAGCAGAAAAAAUUCUGUCGCAUUCCCUUUGGAUUUCAGCCUUACUCUUUAAACUGUUCUCCUUGAGUCUCAGUUUUUACUUGACCUUACACUAUGAAAGGGGGAUCUCUUUGGGUUUGUAAACCAAAAUUAAAAUUCUAAGCCCCCCCAAUAGACUGAAUGGACCCCCCUCACAACCAAGAAGAUUUCAAAGAAACCUGAAAAACCAGUUUAGUCCACGAAGGGAAGUGGGGGAUUGGACAUGCCUAAUUAUACCCUCCCCCUUUUGGAGUUUAGCACAACUGACCAGCAUAACAUUAAAAUAGAGAUCCUAAGACUGACAGAACUGACUAUGUAGCAAUAAGAUACCAACUCCAACCUGACUCUGAAAAUCAAAGUAUUUUACCCCAAACUAUAUUUCUUUGACAUAUUUUGAAAUGGCCCUGCAACGUUGUCUCUUGUGGGGGAAAUUUACAUUCCGUAGAGAAUCCUCUUCCCUCUCCAGGUCUUUUCCUGAUCCAGAAGAGAUGUAACUAAGAGUCUGACAUCUUUUAAGGUCAGAUAAGAGAUAUUCACUAUCUAUUCUCUCUGAAGUCUGGAGGUUUCACCUACAUGAGAAUAACCUUGGCUUCCAGAACCGCUCCCUUCCCUUAACUCAAGCUGACUUCAAUUCUUCAGGCAUAGCUUAUCUCUUUCAACGAAUUGCCAGUCAGAAAAUCUUUGAAUCCACCUAUUACCUAGAAGUCGCCCCCUCAACCCGACUUUGAGAUGUCCUGCCUUUCCAGGCCAAGCCAAUGUAUACCUUACAUGUAUUGAUUUAUGUCUUUGUUUGUAACUUCUGUCUCCCUAAAAUGUAUAACACCAAGCGUAGCCCAACCAAAUUAGGCACAUGUUCUGAGGAAUCCCUGAGGCUGUAUCACGGGCUAUGGUACUUAACCUUGGCAA